UACGUAAGGUGCGAGCGUUAAUCGGAAUAACUGGGCGUAAAGAGCUCGUAGGUGGUUGGGUCCGUCAGAUGUGAAAGCCCCGGGCUCAACCUGGGAACUGCACCUGAUACUGCUUAACUAGAGUACGGUAGAGGGCAGUGGAAUUUCCUGUGUAGCGGUGAAAUGCGUAGAUAUAGGAAGGAACACCAGCGGCGAAGGCGACUGCCUGGACUGAUACUGACACUGAGGUGCGAAAGCGUGGGUAGCAAACAGG
Molecule: unclassified non-coding RNA, 253 nt
Filed under: uncultured Oceanospirillales bacterium
Lineage: Bacteria; Pseudomonadati; Pseudomonadota; Gammaproteobacteria; Oceanospirillales
Description: contains 16S-23S intergenic spacer region
Rfam family: Bacterial small subunit ribosomal RNA
Source: RNAcentral